AGGGAUAUAGCUCAGCUGGUAGAGCAAUGGUCUCCAAAACCAUCGGUCGGUAGUUCGAAUCUAUCUGUCCCUG
This 73-nucleotide transfer RNA is filed under the name Sphingomonas phage PAU. It matches the Rfam family "tRNA". Rfam says of the family: Transfer RNA (tRNA) molecules are approximately 80 nucleotides in length. Their secondary structure includes four short double-helical elements and three loops (D, anti-codon, and T loops). Lineage: Duplodnaviria; Heunggongvirae; Uroviricota; Caudoviricetes. The record is from Rfam by way of RNAcentral.